RNAcentral lists this ribosomal RNA (692 nucleotides) under Pauropus longiramus. RNAcentral describes it as "12S ribosomal RNA". The record is from RNAcentral. Lineage: Eukaryota; Metazoa; Arthropoda; Pauropoda; Tetramerocerata; Pauropodidae.
UGCCUUAUUCCUUUAAUAGAAAUUAGUUAAAAGAUUUAGAUUUUUUUAAAAUUUUAUUUUAGUAAUAGGUUUUUAUAUUUAAUAUUUAUUUAUUAUUACUUUUGAGUAAAUAAUUUUUUGUCAUGAAAAUUUGUUGUUAAAAGCUUGAUAAAAAAAGUGCCAGCUUUCGCGGUUAUACUUUUAAUUUAAAAUUAUUUUUAUAAAAAUAUUUUUUAAUUAAUUUUAUAGAUUAGUAUUUAAGUAGAAUAUAAUUGUAAGUAUUAAGGUUAGUAUAUAGUUAUUUUUUUAAGUUGUGGUUUUAAACUAAGAUUAGAUACCUUACUAUUUAUUAAAAUGUUUUUGAUGAAUAAUUAAAACUUUUGGCGGUAGAGUAUUAGAUUAGAGGAGCUUGUUAUUUAAUUAGAUAAUCCUCUUUUAAUUUUUCUUUUUUAAAAUUUAUGUAUUGCUGUAAAAAUAUUAUUUUGAUGUUAUGGUUUUAAAUGAGAAUAUUUCAAGUCAAUUAGUAGUGCAUAAAAAAGAAUGAAUGAGCUACAUUAUAUAUUAUUUUAAUUCUUAAAAGUUUAAAAGAUUUCAGAAAGGAUUUAAUUGUAAUAAUUUGAGUUAAUUUAAUCUUUAUGAUUUUAGGAUACUUUAUACACAUAUUGCCCGUCAUUCUUUUAGAAAGACAAGUCGUAACAAAGUAAAGGUACUGG